RNAcentral lists this long non-coding RNA (373 nucleotides) under Heterocephalus glaber (naked mole-rat). RNAcentral describes it as "lncRNA (ENSHGLG00000047344.1)". Lineage: Eukaryota; Metazoa; Chordata; Mammalia; Rodentia; Bathyergidae. The record is from RNAcentral.
CCUACAGUGACCGAGUUCCCUCAGCCAGCCUGACAUUGCGGAUGCUGCUGCAAGGAUGACGCUGAUGAUACUGGAUGAAACUUAGGGCCGUUGGGGAGGCGGAAGCGGAUGAGGAGUCUCUGUGCUUGCUCACCCCGGGCCAGAUCUCAGUGAUCCAGAGCGAGGAGAGGGUCUUCAGCUCGGAAGGCUGUGCCUAUCUCUGACUUCUGAAUGUCCGGCUUCCGCCUCCCAUCUAACUGGAUGCCAGCGUCCAGCCAUCCUGCUGGACGCGGGGGAGAAGCCCCAUUUUACCGCUCGACGAGAGGACAGAGCCUGGCAGCCCCUGAGAUAAGUGUGGCUGUUGGGUAAGGAGCCCAAACCACCUGAAGGCCCG